CUUCGGGGGUACUCGAGCGGCGAACGGGUGAGUAACACGUGAGCAACCUGCCCCUGACUCUGGGAUAAGCCUGGGAAACUGGGUCUAAUACCGGAUAUGACUCGCGGCCGCAUGGUCUGCGGGUGGAAAGAUUUAUCGGUUGGGGAUGGGCUCGCGGCCUAUCAGCUUGUUGGUGGGGUGAUGGCCUACCAAGGCGACGACGGGUAACCGGCCUGAGAGGGCGACCGGUCACACUGGGACUGAGACACGGCCCAGACUCCUACGGGAGGCAGCAGUGGGGAAUAUUGCGCAAUGGGCGAAAGCCUGACGCAGCGACGCCGCGUGGGGGAUGACGGCCUUCGGGUUGUAAACCUCUUUCAGCAUCGACGAAGCCUUUCGGGGUGACGGUAGGUGCAGAAGAAGCGCCGGCUAACUACGUGCCAGCAGCCGCGGUAAUACGUAGGGCGCAAGCGUUGUCCGGAAUUAUUGGGCGUAAAGAGCUCGUAGGCGGUUUGUCGCGUCUGUCGUGAAAGCCCACGGCUUAACUGUGGGUCUGCGGUGGAUACGGGCAGACUAGAGGCAGGUAGGGGAGAAUGGAAUUCCCGGUGUAGCGGUGAAAUGC
Molecule: ribosomal RNA, 601 nt
Filed under: Actinomadura sp. YIM M11072
Lineage: Bacteria; Bacillati; Actinomycetota; Actinomycetes; Streptosporangiales; Thermomonosporaceae
Description: bacterial SSU rRNA
Rfam family: Bacterial small subunit ribosomal RNA
Source: RNAcentral